This 911-nucleotide long non-coding RNA is filed under the name Populus trichocarpa (black cottonwood). RNAcentral describes it as "long non-coding RNA (PTRI_LNC002025)". Lineage: Eukaryota; Viridiplantae; Streptophyta; Magnoliopsida; Malpighiales; Salicaceae. The record is from RNAcentral.
GUGAUUCAAAGCUUUUGCUCUUGAAGGGUGCUGCUAUAUAAAGAAGAUUUGAGCAAAUGUGAAAGCACCGCACCCUGUGUGAUAAUUUGACUCACGAGAAAGAAGGAUAGGUUUUGGUUAUGGAAGGUUAGCACUCCUAUCUCCUGCCAUAUUAUAAAUUCAGAUCCUCAACACUUCUGCUAAAAUCGCGACAGCUCAUAAGAAAAAACUCUUCAUUCUUGCUUACCUUUAUGAGAGUGAAUGAUCAAAUUGGUCCACAAUUUAGAAAUAAAUACAAGGCUGCCUACUUUCUCCACCUUGAAUCUCAAAUAUCAACCGAUCAGCCGAGCCAAAUAAUGAUCACAAUAAUGGUCUUUGGCUACUUUUAGUCCUGUGCCACACCUCUCCUGCUAUAUCAACCCAUUGAUUGCUUUUUAAGUUUUUUUUUUUUUUUUACAAAUACAUUAAAAUAUUUUUUUUUUAUUUUUGUCAUUAUCAUAUAAAAAUAAAAAAUAUAUAUAAAAUAAAAUCAAUUCGACGUAUUUUCUACGUAAACAUGCUCUUAAAACAUACCACGAACAUAGUUACGGUCGUAAUUCUUUCUCAUGUCAGGCCAAUAUACAUGAAGGCAACAAAAAGAUUGUUACUGCAAGUGAAUGCUGAUUCAGCAUGCCAAGUGUCAUCACACUUGGCAUGAUGAGUCAGCAUCCAACAAAUGCAAAGAAUUACUUGAAAACAACAGGAGUUAAAAAAUUAACUUACCAACUGUUGCUGUGUUGUAGGUGGAAAUCCCAGGCUGGCCCACAGCUAAUGACCCGGUAAUUACUGUUUUACCCAUCCCGUCACCUAAAAACACCACAUUUUUUUUCUCUAACGGCACUCUAACUAUCUCGUUGUAAACUCCCUCCUUUAUGUGGAUCACGUAUCUAUGU